RNAcentral lists this ribosomal RNA (427 nucleotides) under uncultured Anaerolineaceae bacterium. Its description in RNAcentral is "bacterial SSU rRNA". It matches the Rfam family "Bacterial small subunit ribosomal RNA", at positions 939 to 1382 of the family's 1533-position model. Lineage: Bacteria; Bacillati; Chloroflexota; Anaerolineae; Anaerolineales; Anaerolineaceae. The record is from RNAcentral.
AUGUGGUUAAUUCGAAGCAACGCGAAGAACCUUACCAGGCCUUGACAUGCAGAGAACUUUCCAGAGAUGGAUUGGUGCCUUCGGGAACUCUGACACAGGUGCUGCAUGGCUGUCGUCAGCUCGUGUCGUGAGAUGUUCGGCUAAGUCCGCUAACGAGCGCAACCCUCGUCGUAUGUUAUAUGUGUCAUACGAGACUGCCGGUAAAAGCCGGAGGGAGGUGAGGAUGAUGUCAAGUCAGCAUGACCUUUAUAUCCAGGGCUACACACACGCUACAAUGGUCUGUACAAUGGGUAGCCAAGCCGCGAGGCGGAGCCAAUCCUGAAAGCAGGCCUCAGUUCAGAUUGCAGUCUGCAACUCGACUGCAUGAAGCCGGAGUUGCUAGUAACCGCAGGUCAGCAAUACUGCGGUGAAUACGUUCCCGGGUCUU